AUCCCACUGAGCUGGCCCUGGCACAUCUGGUUCGUUACCAAAGUGAAGCAAGGGCCGGUCCUGUAAUCUGUCUCACACUGGGCUCCA
This is a non-coding RNA of Sturnus vulgaris (Common starling), 87 nucleotides long. The record is from RefSeq and is a predicted model, not a curated record. NCBI's taxonomy places the organism in Eukaryota, Metazoa, Chordata, Aves, Passeriformes, Sturnidae.